CCCGCUGAAUUUAAGCAUAUCACUAAGCGGAGGAAAAGAAACCAACAGGGAUUCCCUUAGUAGCGGCGAGCGAAACGGGACCUAGCCCAGCACCGAAUCCCUCGUCCUUGCCGGCGAUCGGGAAAUGUGGUGUAUGGGAGGUAACGUUCCCGAGAGUUUUGCGGUGGUGCAAGUCCCCCUGACAGGGGCUUGACCCAGAGUGGGUGCCAGGCCCGUCUCCGCCACUGCUCUCUCGGGAUGGAACCUCCCGUGAGUCGGGUUGCUUGAGAGUGCAGCCCUAAUUGGGUGGUAAACUCCAUCUAAGGCUAAAUACGUCCGAGAGACCGAUAGUUCACAAGUACCGUGAGGGAAAGGUGAAAAUAACUUUGAAGAGAGAGUUCAAGAGUACGUGAAACCGCUUAGAGUAAAACGGGUGGGCCCUCGAAGCUCGAGGGCGGUGGGAUUCAGUUUCGCUGUGACGUGGAGCGGUGUCAGCGUCUUGGUUUACGGGCUCUCCUUGUGGGGGCCCGUAAAACACCACGAAAUGAGAACCCUACCCCAAAAGCCGCACUCCUAAUUUAUCCGACUAAACCCAAGAAAAAUGAAGAACACAGGCAGGUGGUGCAGGUUUUGCGCUCCGCAUUCACUCCCACCGACAUCGGCCUGGAAGCGCCG
This 654-nucleotide ribosomal RNA is filed under the name Ixodes scapularis (black-legged tick). RNAcentral describes it as "eukaryotic large subunit ribosomal RNA". It matches the Rfam family "Eukaryotic large subunit ribosomal RNA", at positions 24 to 664 of the family's 3401-position model. The record is from RNAcentral. Lineage: Eukaryota; Metazoa; Arthropoda; Arachnida; Ixodida; Ixodidae.